UUUGAAUUUCUUUUUCUUUUUUUUUGCUUUUUUUUUUGCGAAAAACAGAAAUUCCGGGAGGA
This 62-nucleotide non-coding RNA is filed under the name Rhodella violacea. Lineage: Eukaryota; Rhodophyta; Rhodellophyceae; Rhodellales; Rhodellaceae. The record is from RNAcentral.